GUAUUCUCUUCUGGAACUAAUGUGUCGGGUAUGGAAAUUUAUUUAUUUUGGCGCAGUGCCUAUUAUCUGUAACAUAUACCGUCGUCACAUGGAAGAUGCGAUUGUAUUUUCAACAGUCAUCCAAUCUGUACUCUCAGAUGGAACAGGGCCAAUAAGAAAUUUCAAAAACAAUAAAAAUAUCUAGCCAAGCUGUAGGCCAAAGAGACAAAGUAGCAGGGGAGGGAGAGGAGAGAACCGUAACGAACAAGCGCAACAAGAGAGCAAGGCAGCCAGCAAGGAAGGAAAUUUUUUAAGGACUAUGCACGAAAGAUUCUCACGAGAUUUGAUCUACGUCGGCUAACGCGUAGGUAAAAGAGAGAGCAGGAGACAUAUAUCAUACGACAAGCAACAAGCAAACGCAACACCCCGUUGCCUAGCCGCAGCCGCACAAACCGACCGCCCCUCACCUCACCUCAGAAAGGAGGAAAAGAAUUGCUUGUUGCUGUAAGUUUUAGCCUUGAAGCUUCUGAAGCUGUAGCUGAGCGAAGGUCAUCAUUUCAGCUGAAGCGUUGGGAAGCUUAUGCUCAGCUUCAUAAGAAGGUUUCUGAAAAGUGGUGGUGUGCACCAGGACAUGGUGACUGGUCAACAAAUCUGGCGAGGUACACACUAUGCCAGGAUGGGAUAUUUCAUAAGCAAGACCAAUUUGGGCGACUUUUGCCCACGUUUAUUCAAAUAAUCAAUUUGACGGAAGAGGAAGAGUACUGGAUGGUUGCAUCUGCUGUAUUCGAGGGCAAAGAGGCUUCCAGUCUACCUUCUGAAUAAGGUUAAAGCUUCUGUAAAAAAUGUUGUGCAACCAGUGUUCUCAGAGCAUUCAGUGCCCACAUGCACUUCGUUCUCUACUUCCUUCUCUUCCUUGUGGAUUUGCUUUCCGAAUCAAGGGGACAACAUGAAUCCUUAUUGUUUCCUCAAUGUGCUCCCAUCCCAUAGGUGCAUUUGUUCAGGACAAUGCUUCAGUGGGAGGAGCAAGUUCGCCGUGGUGCAUCUAUGGCAGAGAAAAGUCUCGGUAUAAGCACAUGCACGAAACCAAUCCUUCGUGAGGUGGCCAUAAUCUUCUGGCCCAACGGGAAGAUGACGAGGAUGAGCACUGGUAGCACAGCGGAUGACGCUGCUAGAAGAAUGAGCGUUGAAGGGAAGCUGCUUUGGGUCGAUGGACAACUAGUGCUGCCUCAAACAGAGCUCAAGGAUGGAGAUAUAGUUGAAGUGAGGGUGUAGAUGCAAUUACCAAUUCCCAGUACACCUUUCAGGGUUAUUAAUCAGAUUGAUUCCUCUGUUCUUGCCAACUGCCUAGGCAUGCAGCAGAUUGGAGAAUGGUAGACAUAGAAAGCCAAACCCCAACUGUACAGUCCAUUUGUCGAAAUGAAUCGAAGGAAGCAGGAAUUAGGCACAUCAAGUGCUGUAUUGUACUGUUGUGUACAUAAGCAACUGCAAGUAUAAGAUGUCUGUCCAACUGUGAUUAUCCUUGUCCACAGUUACAGUGGCAGUGUAAAUUUCUGUAAGUAGAGCUGUAGUAUUAUGUAGUUCAGUAGGACUCUUGGCCUGCAAUGUGUUUGUACAUAAUGGCGUGAAGAUACGAGUACUACCAAGCUUGUUUGGUUUGUGUCCAAAGUAGAUUUCCAUAAUUUGGCUAGCCAAAUCUUGUAGAGGUAUUGACAAGAA
This is a long non-coding RNA of Phragmites australis (common reed), 1695 nucleotides long. RefSeq lists it as uncharacterized. The transcript has 3 exons. Lineage: Eukaryota; Viridiplantae; Streptophyta; Magnoliopsida; Poales; Poaceae. The record is from RefSeq and is a predicted model, not a curated record.